UACAGAGGUCUCAACCGUUGUUCGGAUUCAUUGGGCGUAAAGGGUGCGUAGGCGGUCGUGCAAGUCGGAUGUGAAAUCUCAGGGCUCAACCCUGAAACUGCAUUCGAUACUGCGCGGCUAGAGUGCUGGAGGGGAGACUGGAAUUUACGGUGUAGCAGUGAAAUGCGUAGAGAUCAGGAGGAACACCCGUGGCGAAGGCGGCGCCCUGGCCGAACAUUGACGCUGAGACGCGAAAGCGCGGGGAGCGAACGGG
Molecule: ribosomal RNA, 253 nt
Filed under: uncultured bacterium
Lineage: Bacteria
Description: partial 16S ribosomal RNA
Rfam family: Bacterial small subunit ribosomal RNA
Source: RNAcentral